GGAGCCGGAGGGAAACCGAGUCUUAAUUGGGCGUUAAGUUGCAGGGUAUAGACCCGAAACCCGGUGAUCUAGCCAUGGGCAGGUUGAAGGUUGGGUAACACUAACUGGAGGACCGAACCGACUAAUGUUGAAAAAUUAGCGGAUGACCUGUGGCUGGGGGUGAAAGGCCAAUCAAACCGGGAGAUAGCUGGUUCUCCCCGAAAGCUAUUUAGGUAGCGCCUCGUGAAUUCAUCUCCGGGGGUAGAGCACUGUUUCGGCUAGGGGGCCAUCCCGGCUUACCAACCCGAUGCAAACUGCGAAUACCGGAGAAUGUUAUCACGGGAGACACACGGCGGGUGCUAACGUCCGUCGUGAAGAGGGAAACAACCCAGACCGCCAGCUAAGGUCCCAAAGUCAUGGUUAAGUGGGAAACGAUGUGGGAAGGCCCAGACAGCCAGGAUGUUGGCUUAGAAGCAGCCAUCAUUUAAAGAAAGCGUAAUAGCUCACUGGUCGAGUCGGCCUGCGCGGAAGAUGUAACGGGGCUAAACCAUGCACCGAAGCUGCGGCAGCGAACGUAUCACCCAAGACAACUUUACGGAGUUGACGAUUGACGGAGCGAAGCGACGUCAAAGCGUUCAUUAAAGUCGAGUUGGCUUAGGGAUACGUUCGUUGGGUAGGGGAGCGUUCUGUAAGCCUGUGAAGGUGUGUCGUGAGGCAUGCUGGAGGUAUCAGAAGUGCGAAUGCUGACAUAAGUAACGAUAAAGCGGGUGAAAAGCCCGCUCGCCGGAAGACCAAGGGUUCCUGUCCAACGUUAAUCGGGGCAGGGUGAGUCGACCCCUAAGGCGAGGCCGAAAGGCGUAGUCGAUGGGAAACGGGUUAAUAUUCCCGUACUUGGUGUUACUGCGAAGGGGGGACGGAGAAGGCUAUGUUGGCCGGGCGACGGUUGUCCCGGUUUAAGCGUGUAGGUGUGUGUUCCAGGUAAAUCCGGUUCACUUUAACACUGAGGCGUGACGACGAGGCACUACGGUGCUGAAGCAACAAAUGCCCUGCUUCCAGGAAAAGCCUCUAAGCAUCAGGUAACACGAAAUCGUACCCCAAACCGACACAGGUGGUCAGGUAGAGAAUACCAAGGCGCUUGAGAGAACUCGGGUGAAGGAACUAGGCAAAAUGGUGCCGUAACUUCGGGAGAAGGCACGCUGACACGUAGGUGAAGUGAUUUACUCAUGGAGCUGAAGUCAGUCGAAGAUACCAGCUGGCUGCAACUGUUUAUUAAAAACACAGCACUGUGCAAACACGAAAGUGGACGUAUACGGUGUGACGCCUGCCCGGUGCCGGAA
This 1316-nucleotide ribosomal RNA is filed under the name Salmonella enterica subsp. enterica serovar Typhimurium. RNAcentral describes it as "partial 23S ribosomal RNA". It matches the Rfam family "Bacterial large subunit ribosomal RNA", at positions 662 to 1874 of the family's 2925-position model. Lineage: Bacteria; Pseudomonadati; Pseudomonadota; Gammaproteobacteria; Enterobacterales; Enterobacteriaceae. The record is from RNAcentral.